Long non-coding RNA from Chelonoidis abingdonii (Abingdon island giant tortoise), 2006 nucleotides. RefSeq lists it as uncharacterized. NCBI's taxonomy places the organism in Eukaryota, Metazoa, Chordata, Testudines, Testudinidae. The record is from RefSeq and is a predicted model, not a curated record.
GCUACCCAGAGGAGCCACCGGCGCUACCGUGGCCCGAGUAUCCCGAGGAACUCCUGGACCUACCACCCAGCCCUGGUCGUGAUGAGCCUAUGCUCCUGGACCCCACUGAGGCCGACUUUAGGACGCAGUUAUUUCUCCUAGGCAAGAAAACAGGGGAGGUUGGACUCUGAGUUCAUGAAAAUGUUCACUCAUUGCACAUGCAAAAACCAGCAUUUGAAAGAGGCAAGGCUUCCAUGAGGUGCUGGUGGACAUUUCAGUGGCCUUUUUUGACCCACUAAAGGCACCUGACAGAGCAGGAGGGUGACAAUACAGAGAUAGAAGACUCAAACUGGCAGCUUCUGCUCAUAACUCUUGGUAUAGCUGCUGACGCCCUCCAUGUAGACUGGUGCUUCUUGAGCAGAGCCACAAAUGCAGACUUGUGGUGUCACAUGAUCACGCAGACCUGGGAUGACCAGCAGUGGCUCCAGAACUUUUACAUGAAGAAAGCUACAUUUUUGGGGGGGAGUCUUGUGAGCAGCGUGCCCUGACCCUCUGGUGUCAUGACACCUGUACAAGGACAGCCAUAUUAGUCCAGAAGCAGUUUGCUAUAACAGUCUGGAAGGUGUCUACCCUAGACUGCUACAGAUCUGUUGCUAACCAGUUUAGUGUUGGAAAGUCAACUGUGAGUAAAGUGGUGGUGAAAGUUUCUGAGGCUAUCAGAUGUAGGGUUUACCCAAUGGUGGUGGGUGUAAACAAUGUUCCUGAGGUGAUUGGAAAGCUCAUUCUCUGAAAACCAGCGAAAUGUGCUGGGGCUAUUGAUGGGAUUCAUGUCCACAGUUUGCCCUCCUCAGGAAGCAAAUGAGUACAUAAACCACAAAGAGCAGUACUCCAUUGUUUAUGCAGGCCCUUGUGGACCACAGAGGCCAAUUUAUGGACCUCAAGAUGUGAUGUAGUCAAAAGGUUCAUGAUGCAAGGGUUUUCCGUCAGUCAGAAGCCUACUUUUAUGGAUAAGCUGGGACACUAUUCCCACCAAUUGACAUUGUCAUAAAUGGAGUAACUGUCCUCACUGUCGUUCUAGGGGACCCUUACACUCUUUGUCUUGGCUUAUGAAACCAUAUCCAGAUCUCAGAGGGCCCCGCAAAAGGUUUAUUUACAUUCUUAGCAGUUGUAGAAUGGUGGCUGAAUGUGCAUUUGGCAGACAGCACGAGUGGGAUUUCACUCUAUAGAUGCAUUUGAAUUCCAGUGUCGUCAACAGUGUCUGUACUAUUGCAAAGAGCACAGCAAGCCACAAUCUUUAAGAAGCCAAAAAUGAGCCAUUUGCACUUGAAUGGACCUAUGAUAGUAUUGGACUGCUGAACCAAUACGCUCAACCAGACAGUGCACCAGUCACAGCACAGGAUGUUCCUGGGCAACAGAAAUCAAGGCUGCUCUGUGCUGCUACAUUAUGGACUUACACAGGCCUAUGGAAAAAGGAGAAUAGCACAUUUCUGACUUUUUGUGCAGCAGUGUGUACAGUGAAUGAGGUACUAUCACAUCACAGGGUGCAAUGGGAGUGGGUACUGUCAUAACAAUGAAUGGGAGGAGGUAUUGAUUGUCAUUAAUUUUUAUUUUGGAUGACAUAACUGUUAAUGUAAUGGGGGGAUUAUGUAUUUACAUUAUUGGUGUACAUAGAUAUACUGAAAUUAUUUAGUUAUAACUUGUCUAUUGUGCCUUAUCCUGUUUAUCUUUAUUAUUCAAAAUACACAUUAUAAGAUGUGAUGGCAAUAAAGUUUCUUAGUAAAAUAAAAGCCUUUAUUUGUCUUACAAAUAUAACCAUAUUAAAAUAUUGCCAGGAAGGCCAGCUGUCACUAGAACAAUGAAGCAGUAAUAAAAACCAACACCACAACCACUAAUAAAACAAUGUGCCUAAGCCAAACACUGAACAAUCCAAACAGUGCCAUCAAAGAAAAACCCAAUGUUGCAUGUCCUUCUUUCCCUUUCCUGUGCAGUUAGCACAGGCUUGUCGCCACUGAACAGGAGCCUACAGG